Molecule: unclassified non-coding RNA, 291 nt
Filed under: Verruconis sp.
Lineage: Eukaryota; Fungi; Ascomycota; Dothideomycetes; Venturiales; Sympoventuriaceae
Description: partial contains 5.8S ribosomal RNA, internal transcribed spacer 2, and large subunit ribosomal RNA
Source: RNAcentral
CGCACAUUGCGCCUCUCGGUAUUCCGGGAGGCACGCCUGUUCGAGCGCCAUUACACACUCCAAGCUCUGCUUGAUGUUGGACUGCGCGGCUCUCCGUCUGUGAGAGCUGCUGGUCUGGAACGCGUGGGCGUCCGGUCUGUCGAGAAACCGCGAGCGUAGCAAGACGCAAGUCAAUCGCUCGUCGGGUCUCCAGCGGAUGGCGCUGAGCUUCUUUCAUUCUCCCUGUGAGAAGGAAGGACAAACAUAACUGAGUUUGGCCUCGGAUCAGGCGGGGAUACCCGCUGAACUUAA